Molecule: transfer RNA, 73 nt
Filed under: Roseimicrobium sp. ORNL1
Lineage: Bacteria; Pseudomonadati; Verrucomicrobiota; Verrucomicrobiia; Verrucomicrobiales; Verrucomicrobiaceae
Rfam family: tRNA
About the family: Transfer RNA (tRNA) molecules are approximately 80 nucleotides in length. Their secondary structure includes four short double-helical elements and three loops (D, anti-codon, and T loops).
Source: Rfam by way of RNAcentral
GCUCCCGUGGUCGAAGAGAUGAGGCAUCCGUCUUCUAAACGGAGAUAUGCAGGUGCAAGUCCUGCCGGGAGCA